RNAcentral lists this ribosomal RNA (930 nucleotides) under uncultured archaeon. RNAcentral's name for it is "bacterial SSU rRNA". It matches the Rfam family "Archaeal small subunit ribosomal RNA", at positions 1 to 922 of the family's 1478-position model. The record is from RNAcentral.
UCCGGUUGAUCCUGCCAGAGGCUACUGCCAUCAGAGUUCGAUUAAGCCAUGUUAGUCGAGGGUGCUUCUUCUUCGGAAGAGGUAACCGGCAGACGGCUCAGUAACACGUGGACACUUACCCUUGGGACCGGGAUAACCCCUGGGAAACUGGGGCUAAUACCGGAUAGAGCAUCGGUUGCUGGAAUGCACGAUGGUCUAAAGCUGAGGCGCCCAAGGAUAGGUCUGCGGCCGAUUAGGUUGUUGUUGAUGUGACGGAUCAACAAGCCUACGAUCGGUACGGGUUGUGAGAGCAAUAGCCCGGAGAUGGGUUCUGAGAGAAGAACCCAGGUCCUACGGGACGCAUCAGGCGCGAAAACUUUACAAUGUGCGAAAGCACGAUAAGGGAACUCUGAGUGCCUCCUAAGGAGGCUGUUCGGGUGUCUAAAAAGCAUCCGAAGGAAGGGCUGGGUAAGACCGGUGCCAGCCGCCGCGGUAACACCGGCAGCCCAAGUGGUAGCCAUGCUUAUUGGGUCUAAAGCGUCCGUAGCCGGCCAAGUAAGUUCUUUGGGAAAUUUGACCGCUUAACGGUCAAGCUAUCAGGGAAUACUGCUUGGCUUGGGACCGGGAGAGGUCAGAGGUACUCCAAGGGUAGGGGUGAAAUCCGUUAAUCCUUGGGGGACCACCGGUAGCGAAGGCGUCUGACCAGACCGGGUCCGACGGUGAGGGACGAAGGCUUAGGGUCGCGAACCGGAUUAGAUACCCGGGUAGUCCUAGCUGUAAACGAUGCGGGCCAGGUGUUGGCAUUACUUGCGAGUGAUGCCAGUGCCGAAGGGAAGCCGUUAAGCCCGCCAUCUGGGGAGUACGGUCGCAAGGCUGAAACUUAAAGGAAUUUGGCGGGGGAGCACCACAACGGGUGGAGCUUGCGGUUCUAAUUGGUAUUCUUACGCCGGG